CACGGCGCGAGGGACAGACGGAGCAACGCGUGCGCCUUCCUCCCGGGCUACCUUUGCAAACCAACGGGCGCGUUUGCAAUGGGAGGCUGGUUGCUGGAAUGACUCGCUUCUUUGUUCGUGGCAGGGGGGUGUGGAAAACCUGGGUAUGCAGCAGGGGAGACUAGGCUGUAACCAGCAACCGGUGCGUGUGCUGCACAAUCUGGCAGGAAACAAUUUUUGGCAAAGAAGGAAGUUUCAGGUUCUGGAAGUUGUCUGAUAAAAUAAAAGAAUGUGUGAUACCCCUCAGAGACUUCCAGAUGCUUUUUCUGCCUCUUUAUGCCCCUUGCACCUCUUUCUGCAAGAUCCAAUAGCAUCAUGAGAUGUAUAGUUAUGUGGAACCAAAUCCUGCCUGUUUGACUCACGCAAGUAGCUCUACUGAUGUCAACAGGACUAUUUGUCCAAGACCUUGAGGAAUACACCACGCACCCCUGCCACCGGCUUCGGCAGAUAAGGCAGAAGCAGAGAUGCAGCAAAGAAGACAUGUUCAGGGAGGUGCUGCAG
Long non-coding RNA from Dermochelys coriacea (leatherback sea turtle), 540 nucleotides. RefSeq lists it as uncharacterized. The transcript has 3 exons. NCBI's taxonomy places the organism in Eukaryota, Metazoa, Chordata, Testudines, Dermochelyidae. The record is from RefSeq and is a predicted model, not a curated record.